This 1155-nucleotide ribosomal RNA is filed under the name metagenome. Its description in RNAcentral is "SSU rRNA". It matches the Rfam family "Eukaryotic small subunit ribosomal RNA", at positions 558 to 1761 of the family's 1831-position model. The record is from RNAcentral.
AGUCUGGUGCCAGCAGCCGCGGUAAUUCCAGCUCCACUAGUGUAAAUCGUCAUUGCUGCGGUUAAAAAGCUCGUAGUUGGAUCUGAGUCGCGUACGUUGGUUCGCCUUUGGCGUUAAUCUUCGUUGCGACUAUUUUGCUGGUUUUCUGUGGGUAACUUCGGUUCCCGCAGUGGCUAGCGAGUUUACUUUGAAUAAAUUAGAGUGCUCAAAACAAGCGAUUGCUUGAAUGCUCGAUCAUGGAAUAAUAAAAGAGGACUUCGGUUCUAUUUAUUGGUUCAAGAACUGAAUUAAUGGUUAAGAGGGACAAUUCGGGGGCAUUCGUAUCCCUGCGUGAGAGGUGAAAUUCGUGGACCGCAGGGGGACGCCCAAUAGCGAAAGCAUUUGCCAAGAAUGUCUUCAUUAAUCAAGAACGAAAGUCAGAGGUUCGAAGGCGAUUAGAUACCGCCCUAGUUCUGACCGUAAACUAUGCCAUCUAGCGAUUCGAUGGGACAUCUUUGUCUCGUCGAGGAGCUUCCCGGAAACGAAAGUCUUUCGGUUCCUGGGGUAGUAUGGUUGCAAAGCUGAAACUUAAAGAAAUUGACGGAAGGGCACCACCAGGAGUGGAGCCUGCGGCUUAAUUUGACCCAACACGGGAAAACUCACCCGGCCCGGACACCGUUAGGAUUGACAGAUUGAAAGCUCUUUCUCGAUUUGGUGGUUGGUGGUGCAUGGCCGUUCUUAGUUGGUGGAGCGAUUUGUCUGGUUUAUUCCGAUAACGAGCGAGACUCUAGCCUACUAAAUAGUUUCUGGAUUUUUUGGUCCAGUUAACUUCUUAGAGGGAUAAGCGGUGUUUAACCGCACGAGAUUGAGCGAUAACAGGUCUGUGAUGCCCUUAGAUGUCCGGGGCUGCACGCGCGCUACACUGGAAGAAUCAGCUGGUAUUCCAUUGCCGAAAGGUAUUGGUAAACCGUUGAAACUCUUCCGUGACCGGGAUAGGGAAUUGUAAUUAUUUCCCUUGAACGAGGAAUUCCUAGUAAGUGUGAGUCAUCAGCUCACGUUGAUUACGUCCCUGCCCUUUGUACACACCGCCCGUCGCUGUCCGGGACUGAGCUGUUUCGAGAAGAGUGAGGACUGCUGCAGCGAGGCUUCGGCUUUACUGUGAUGGAAAUCACUUUA